ACGCUGGCGGCAUGCCUAACACAUGCAAGUCGAACGAGACCUUCGGGUCUAGUGGCGCACGGGUNCGUAACGCGUGGGAAUCUGCCCUUAGGUUCGGAAUAACUUCGGGGAAACUGAAGCUAAUACCGGAUGAUGACGUAAGUCCAAAGAUUUAUCGCCUAAGGAUGAGCCCGCGUUGGAUUAGCUAGUUGGUGAGGUAAAGGCUCACCAAGGCGACGAUCCAUAGCUGGUCUGAGAGGAUGAUCAGCCACACUGGGACUGAGACACGGCCCAGACUCCUACGGGAGGCAGCAGUGGGGAAUAUUGGACAAUGGGCGAAAGCCUGAUCCAGCAAUGCCGCGUGAGUGAUGAAGGCCUUAGGGUUGUAAAGCUCUUUUACCCGGGAUGAUAAUGACAGUACCGGGAGAAUAAGCUCCGGCUAACUCCGUG
This 429-nucleotide ribosomal RNA is filed under the name uncultured bacterium. RNAcentral describes it as "bacterial SSU rRNA". It matches the Rfam family "Bacterial small subunit ribosomal RNA", at positions 33 to 507 of the family's 1533-position model. The record is from RNAcentral.